CCUUUGAUAGCUUAGCUGGUAGAGUGGAGGACUGUUAGGCUCUCUCUAGAAAGUAAUCCUUAGUUGAACCUUGAGCAGGUUCAAUUCCAGUUCAAAGGA
RNAcentral lists this transfer RNA (99 nucleotides) under Cariama cristata (Red-legged seriema). It matches the Rfam family "tRNA". From Rfam's summary of the family: Transfer RNA (tRNA) molecules are approximately 80 nucleotides in length. RNAcentral also lists the same sequence under 1 other name. The record is from Rfam by way of RNAcentral. Lineage: Eukaryota; Metazoa; Chordata; Aves; Cariamiformes; Cariamidae.